GCACCACAAGAACGCGUGGAGCAUGUGGCUUAAUUUGACUCAACGCGGGAAAUCUUACCAGGUCCGGACACACUGAGGAUUGACAGGAAGUAUCGUCUUUUGAAAUCUUAAGUACAUGUCGUUUCUAAUGACAUCUUUUAGAUGAAUGAUUCGUGUAAAUAUGCUAGUUCUUUCAUGAUUAUGUGAUAGGUGGUGCAUGGCCGUUCUUAGUUCGUGGAGUGAUCUGUCUGCUUAAUUGCGUUUCACUAUGGCCCCAAAGUUAGCAAGUUAUCCAAUCAUGACCUUCGUCGACCCCUCACCUUUGAGUGCGCGUCCUAGCUUAGAGUACAUGGUGUAAAUGGACUUGUUUUGGGUACCCAGAAAGCAACGAACGUGACCGCAACGUCUUGUUGUCUCUCUUUUGACAGUUAUGGGUUAUCCCAGUCAUGUGUUUAUGCUUUUAUGUGUAAAUACGUACGACACAGAGACUAGAUACCAAACUAGGCGUACCGCUGUAUCAUUUCUUUAAACCAGAGGAAGGUUGC
RNAcentral lists this ribosomal RNA (524 nucleotides) under Neogloboquadrina incompta. Its description in RNAcentral is "bacterial SSU rRNA". It matches the Rfam family "Eukaryotic small subunit ribosomal RNA", at positions 1164 to 1448 of the family's 1831-position model. Lineage: Eukaryota; Foraminifera; Rotaliida; Globorotaliidae. The record is from RNAcentral.